Molecule: long non-coding RNA, 2022 nt
Organism: Xenopus laevis (African clawed frog)
Lineage: Eukaryota; Metazoa; Chordata; Amphibia; Anura; Pipidae
Exons: 2
Source: RefSeq, a predicted model, not a curated record
UGAGAGAGAGAGAGAGAGAGAGAGAGAGAGAGAGAGUCAGGGACAGAGUGGGCUGUGGGAUUGGGAGGAAUAAAUCAUUGAAGACAGAGAUACAGACAGAGGGACAGAUAGAGACAGAGGGACAGAUAGAGACAGAGGGACAGAUACAGACAGAGGGACAGAUACAGACAGAGGGACAGAUACAGACAGAGGGACAGAUACAGACAGAGGGAAAGGACAGAGUGUGGGAUAGAAGUGAGAUUGGGUAACAGCUGGGGGGGUGGGAGGAACACAGACAGAUUUGGCUGAAAUUGGCAGUUGGGAGGGAGGGAAAUGCGAAUAAGAGGGAGGGACAGAGCAGAUAGUGGGUGAGACCCUCAUAGAGAAGGAAGGGCCUGGGGAGGGACACUGAUAGGGGGGAGGAGAAUUGGGGGUGGGAGGGAUUGAGGGGAAGGAGCAGAGUCGGGAGUGGGAGGGAAAUACUGAAGAAGGGAAGGGGGGUCGCUAGAAGUCCAGGGGCGCAGGGAGAGACAGAGUCAGAGCUGCAGGAGAGGAUCACGUUACACUUUUCUGUAUCUCCAGCCCCCGCUCCUGAUCUGCGCGACCCCUUAGCCCGACUCGGCCAGUAUCUUCUGCCUGAGGAUCUGUCCCUGGUGCUGAAAGCCGGGCCCGCCUGUAGCGCAGAGAGAAGAAGCCGCGACAUCUCUGGCCCAGAGACACAGUCGCACUGGAGGAGUCGGGAGUCAAGGGCAACGUGUCGGGGGCGCGGGUUUAGUGGCAGGAGAGUCCGAGGCUGAGUGUGAGGCACAGGCCGGGGCAGCUGCUCUCAAACUGACACCAACUCGGGCCUUGAACAACCUCCGAUCCACCAGCUGUUCCUUAAUAAUCAUCUCACAGUUCAUAGAAGGACCCCCCAUAAACCAAACACUGCAAGGACUCAAUAGGGAACCUCUUACUAGCAAGGACCCCCAGUCCAACUGUGACAAGUAGCUGAUUAACAGGAGAAGCCCCCAGGCCUCCAGGGACCAUACAAGAGACCCCCCCCAGGCUGGACACAAACUCAAAGCCCUUAGUUGGGACCCUCGUUAACAAGAGGAGAUCCAAACAAGAGUGAAGUUCAAAACCCCCUGCAUGGAUCUCAUUAGCAAUAACCAAACCAGGUAACCAGGUAAAGGUACAACUCCAAUCCCACAUUUAGGAUCCUUUUACACCCCAAGAUAAGCACCAGCUACUGACCAAGUGUGAGAUCACAGCUCUGCUUCUCUUUCCAUCCACCAGGAACUCCUCCAAGAUUAUCCUCACUGGAGAAACCCUGGUCUACAUAUACAAAGAGCAACAAUUAAAGGUAAUCCACUCUUUUGCGUUUCUACCUAUAAACUGAUAUAUACAGGGGGAGGGGGAAGCAGAUCCUCCAGCACCUUGACAUGUAAAGGAAUUCUCCAACAAGUAGCCCCAUUUAUAGGGUCCCAGUGACCAUUACUACAAACCUCUCUUGGUGUCCUAAUACCGGUCUCUGAAACCAGCAAGCUAAAACUUUCCUAGACGCAAUUAAAGGUCAAGCACACCAGUCUACAGAUACUUCCAAGCAUGGACCUCUGAUCAGAAAAGGCACCCAUCAGCCCUACAGAUGAACAAGGUCAACGUUGACCUAGAUACCAUCAUCUCCCUGUGGAAAUUAGCACCCUCACAGGUCCCCCCAUCAUCAACCAACUUCAUUGCCUACCUGGAGUCAAUUUAACAUUUGUUCAAACAGAGGUGUCUUCACCCACUGGCGUACAAUAAACCAAGCCAAUGAUGAUUCAUUUCCCUCCUGAUGCUUUCUAACAGGAUAUAAGGCUGACAACAGAUUCUUUGGAAACAGGGAGAGCAGAGCCGACUUGGAGAUGGCGGAAGCUUUUGUCUGCAUGAUGCCAUCAAUAGACCAGAUUUUAAUCACCCCGUCAACAUCCACACUAGCCACCCGGCACCCGGAGCAGUCGACCCUGCCAGAGAAAAAGCAAUAAUGUUAACGGCUGGCAAAAAAUCUACUUUAAAUGGAUGGUU